GAUCCAGUGGACAUAAAGAGCAGCACAGAGCCGGAGCCGGAGGCUGAAGCUCUCAAACCCAGUCCAGUGGAAGCUGCAGAAGAAAAUAACCCGUCAGAGGAGGCCAAAGCAGCAGAAAAGACAGUUAUGAACUUUUUCAAAACAUUUGUGAGUACAUUUUCAUUGCUUUGGGUGAUUCGAAUGCUGUUCGAAUUCUCUUUCAAACUACAUUUCUGUUGUAAUUGCACCUCAUUGGUGUUUAAAGCUAAGCAGCAAUCAGAAGUUUCAAUAUUAUUGAGAAACACAAGCAUGCAGUGUUUAUAGAAAAUCAUUUAUAAGAAUAACAAGUGUGUAUUUGUCUAUAACUGAACUAUCUAGACUUGUUGUUCCAGACUAAAAUUAUGCAUUUUUACUCUAUCUUUGAGGUAUUUGUUACACUGCUGUAUUUUUUUAUCUGUUAAACUCUGUUUGGCACUCUGUUGAAUCAAUCUUCUGGACGUGUCAAACUGUGGCAGGCUUUUGUUUGCUGCAUAAUGUGAGCUCACAAGGGAGGCCUGUGCGUUUGGGGUUGUGAUAAAGCACGGGAAGGCCUACGCCAUCUCCAGAGGACAAUGACUCACUCAACACCAGAAACAUGCUCAGAUCGGCUCCUGCCAGCCAGAUCUUUGUGUGCCUGUGGCAAAGCAAGCCCGGCUAAACUGUGUCUGGAUUUGACAGACAGGCUUUAUCCUCACAAAAGAUGCUUUUUGAUAUCUCUGUCUUAGAGUAGGUCCAGUUUGGAGAGAUGGAGUACCUGAAGGAGCAGUAUAUGAUGGUGUUUCAAAGUCACUCUAAUGUUUACGUGUCUCCGUUCUCUUUUCUGCAUGUGAAGGUCACUCCGACCAAAACAAGCAAAGAAGCCAAAGCCACUCCUGAUGCUUCUAAAGAGCAGUCACAGAAAGAGACCCCACCAGCACCAUCUACUAAUGAAGCACCCAAGGCACCCCCUCCUCCUCCCCCAGCGCCACCUAAGAUGGAAAGCAAAGCAGAGCCGGCGGUGAAGAAAGAGGACACGUCUGCAACAAAAGCAGCCGCGGCAGCUGCAACAAAAGCAGAGGGAUCUGCCAAGAGCAAAACUAAAGACAGUGCAUUAGGCAAACUCUUCCGUUCAAAGGUCGACGCGUCUAAGAGCAGCACUCUCGAGGCCGCUGCAAAACCUGAAGAUCCUCCAGCACCAAAACCAGAGGAGAAGAAACCAGAGAAGAAAUCCACUUUUGGAAGCAUGUUUAAACCCAAGGCACCAGAGCCCAAGAAGGAGACUCCAGCUGCUCCUCCUGCGGCAGAAGCUGCUCCACCUGCGAAGGCCAAAGAAGAGUCACCGCAAGCGACCCCGGACAACAAAUCAGCCGAAAGCACAGAGAACGCCUCCCCAAACAUGCCCACAAGCUGGAGAAGAGGAACUCCUUCCAGCUGUUCUUCAAAAACCUGGCUAAGUAGAAACGCAGAGAUUCUCCAGGGCUAGGGAUCCCACUCAAACCUGUGAGCAUUUGCAAUCUGUGUAGUUUAACUCUUCAGCUGUAUGUAGUUUUCCCGGUUAAAUGCUGUCGAGAAACAUUUCGUAAUUCUGUCCGAUGUCUAACCAUCCGGAGUAUUUUGAUAUUGCUGGCUAUUAAUCUUAAAACAGUGAUCUGUGAGGUGAUGAAAUGAUUAAUUGCAUCCAAACAAGUGUUUUAUUAUGUAAACAAAAACUUUUAUUUUGGAUGCGAUUAAUCGGCAAUAAUUACAAUACAAAAAUCAACAUUCACAGGGUGUGAACACCAUAUGGCAUCAAUUGCCAACCUAUCUAGAUUAUUAAAUUAAUUCCACAUCAGUUUAUUUGAAUUUUAAUAAAAUGCUGAUUUAAAAAAAAAGUGAUAAUAUUUAAUUAAAUUGGGCGCAAAUAUAUUGCAUGUACAUUUUUUUUAUUGCAUGGAAUCUAAUAAUAUUGGCAUUAAAUUUAAUUAUCUAAAUAUGUAAUUCUAAUCUUUGUUUGGCAAUGUAUAACUUCUCCAUAAAUAAACUAUUUUUUUUUGUCAUGUAAUAUGAAUAUAAUUGUCCCCAAUUAUUGUUAUUUCAAGUGGGAUCGUCCCUGUCAGUUUUCCUCAGAAAAAAACAUGACAACUAAAUUAGCGCAGAUAAUAAAGCACAGAAAUUGUCCAAAGUUGCUCUGGAUUCGCUUAGUAAAUAAAAGCCCAGUUGUCAGGUGGGUUGCAAAGGGUUUUUGCCUUCAGACACCAUUAUGGACGAGUGGUAAAAAACACACACUUUCUUGCUAAGUUAGGAUCUCUAAUGUUGCGUUAUGCGUUGGUGUGUCUCACAAAAACGCCAUUCUGAUGGCGGAGUGCAAACGGAGCCUGCGGCACCCGAGAAGGCCAAAUAAAACCCCACCUUUGUUUUGAUCGCUCAUCUCUGCCAAAACCAUUGCGCAUAAGAACAUAUUUGCCAUAGAUGGGAGGUAUUAUGCUGAUUUACGAGGCCCAAAUUUGAAAGUAACUAUCAAAUAAUUAAUCCCCAUGCAUUUAGUGAGAGCAGAAGCAAGUGUAAUGAUAUACACUGUUAAGCAAGUGGCCACAUGUGUUUUCGACUGGAGGGAGGAACUUGUUUGUUUCCUGCAGAGAACCGUGUCAGAGUUGUGUGUUGUGGCAUGAGAUGGAAAAGUGAAAGUGAAAAUGCAAUCCUGCAUUUCAGAAUAAACUCCCUUUUCUGUGCAUGAUAAAAUGUCAAAUAUGUUAACUGAACUAACACUAUUGUCGUAUUGCAAUUGCAAUUCACAUGCAUUAUGCAUUAAAAGCAUUGCAUUUUCACCUGGACAAAGCAAACAUCAUGCAUGUUUACAUGUGAAAAGAAAUUAUUUAUGUAAUCAUACACUAUCUGAUCUGAAAACAAUGACCUGUUGUCUGCUAUUUCAAUCACUGAAACCUACAAAGCCAACUUGAAUUCCACUUAAAGCGCAAAACUUCUGAAUCACCAUAGAAAUCAAAAUAGUUUAUUUAACAUAAUGUCAAUCAAACUGAGCACCGUAUAUUAUAAACAACUUACUUGGUCAUUUAAGUUUUCAACAAAAAAAAACCUACACUUUGUUUUCAUUUCCACUUAGAAGAUUUAUUUAUUUAUUAAUCAUGACUUACUAACUAAACCACAUUGCAAUUAUUGUCUUGUUAUUUGCUUGGCCGUCCGGUUCUGAUCAGGGGAGACUAAAAAGAAAUUAAUCUAGUUAAAUAUUUUAUUGUAUUUCUUAUUUUUAUGAACAGUACAGUUUGAGAUAAAUUUGUGGUAUACAGUUAGGCCAUAUACAAUGUACAUUCAACUCUGCAGUCGCAUUUACUUUAAUGAUUUUCUUCCUAAUUUUCUCUACAUUUGUAAAGAGUAGAAGGGCCAUAUUCAGAAUUCAGACUAUAUGCAUGAAUCUUAUACUGUCUGUAUCUUCUUUGUUGCAUAUUUCUCUAUUUAACCAAUGUAUAAAAAUAAAAUAAUAAUUUCUCUCCUCUGUAAAAUGACUCAUUCUGUAU
Molecule: long non-coding RNA, 3506 nt
Filed under: Carassius auratus (goldfish)
Lineage: Eukaryota; Metazoa; Chordata; Actinopteri; Cypriniformes; Cyprinidae
Description: lncRNA (ENSCARG00000053294.1)
Source: RNAcentral